This is a long non-coding RNA of Mastomys coucha (southern multimammate mouse), 269 nucleotides long. RefSeq lists it as uncharacterized. The record is from RefSeq and is a predicted model, not a curated record. Lineage: Eukaryota; Metazoa; Chordata; Mammalia; Rodentia; Muridae. The transcript has 3 exons.
CGCGGCUCUGGCGCCGGAAGCGGGGAGGUGACGAAGGGACGUCGCGUCGCCGCGCCGGGUCUCGAGCAGCUGCCAGAGCCGCCGGACGGACCGCCGCCCCCGCCGCGCCAUGGCCGAGAGUGACUGGGACACCGUGACGGUGCUGCGCAAGAAGGGCCCCACGGCCGCACAGGCCAAGUCUAAGCAGGCCAUCUUAGCAGCUCAGCGACGAGGAGAAGAUGUGGAGACAUCCAAGAAAUGGGCUGCUGGCCAGAACAAGCAGCAUUCCA